Molecule: ribosomal RNA, 497 nt
Filed under: uncultured bacterium
Lineage: Bacteria
Description: partial 16S ribosomal RNA
Rfam family: Bacterial small subunit ribosomal RNA
Source: RNAcentral
GAUGAACGCUGGCGGCGUGCCUAACACAUGCAAGUCGAACGGACAGACGAUGAGCUUGUGCCUUUGACGUUAGCGGCUGACGGGUGAGUAACGCGUGCAUCAGCUACUUAUAAUUCGGGGAUGAUUACGGAAGACGGGAUCUAAUAACACAGCAUAUAUUGAACCGCAGGGAGCAAUAGAGAUUGGCGGCUUUGCUGUCUGUAUUAGCUGGUUCCGCGCCGCAUUAGCUAGUUGGUAAGGUAACGGCCUACCAAGGCUACGAUGCGUAGCCGACCUGAGAGGGUGAUCGGCCACACUGGAACUGAGACACGGUCCAGACUCCUACGGGAGGCAGCAGUAGGGAAUAUUCCGCAAUGGGCGCAAGCUUGACCCAGCCAUGCCGCGUGAGUGAUGAAGGCCUUCGGAUCGUAAAGCCCUUUUAUUGGGAAAGAACAGCUGCGGGAGUAACCAUGGCCGUCUUGACGGUACCUAAUCAAAAAGCACCGGCUAACUACGUG